UACGAACUGCGCGAACGUUAUUCGGAAUCACUGGGCUUACAGGGUGCGUAGGUGGCAUCGAAAGUAGGGUGUGAAAUGCCUUGGCUCAACUAAGGCACAGCGCUCUAAACUACUUUGCUUGAGUGAGUCAGGGGUGCACGGAACUUCCGGUGGAGCGGCGAAAUGUGUUGAUAUCGGAAGGAACACCGGCGGCGAAAGCGGUGCACUGGGGCUUAACUGACACUGAGGCACGAAAGCCAGGGGAGCAAACGGG
This 253-nucleotide ribosomal RNA is filed under the name uncultured bacterium. RNAcentral describes it as "partial 16S ribosomal RNA". It matches the Rfam family "Bacterial small subunit ribosomal RNA", at positions 524 to 776 of the family's 1533-position model. The record is from RNAcentral.